Mus musculus (house mouse) is the source of this 135-nucleotide non-coding RNA. Lineage: Eukaryota; Metazoa; Chordata; Mammalia; Rodentia; Muridae. The record is from Rfam.
AAGUUUGAGCAGUGGUAGUAUUGUAGCCAAUGAGGUUUAUCUGAGGUACAGUUAUUGCUAAUUGAAAAGUAAAUCAAACUAUACAAUGGACAAAAAGAAAGCAUCUUCAACAAGUGGUGGUAUUCUAAAUUGAGG